RNAcentral lists this long non-coding RNA (551 nucleotides) under Chrysemys picta bellii (western painted turtle). RNAcentral describes it as "lncRNA (ENSCPBG00000001775.1)". The record is from RNAcentral. Lineage: Eukaryota; Metazoa; Chordata; Testudines; Emydidae.
UUCCGUGUUGCUCCAGUGUUCUGUGUUCUCCCAGCUCCUAGCCACCCGCAUCGUCUUCUGUAAGGACGGGGAGGAGGUUUCGUCCCAGAGGGGCUUGGAGGAUAAGAUCACCUAUGACUAUGUCCAUGUGGUGUCCAUGGGCAGCUCUGGGAAUUACUCCUGUGGGUAUGAGAUCAAGGACAGCGACAACCGGGUGAAUGGAUCCCUGCUCAGCCCUGCCCAGCACCUCAGUGUCACCGGCAGCGCGAGCAGCAGCGGAGGAGGGGAGGAGCCAACCCGCACAGGGCCGGCCAUGUCCCUCUCCAUCUGGGCUGCCCGCUGUGCCCUGGUCCUGCUUCUUCUGGUGUCUGCGCCCGUCAUCACCUUCAUGAUGGAGAAACGGGGCCUGACCCAACCUGCACAGGUGGAGGAGACUCGUGGUCGGAGCGCCAGCAUUUUGCGGGAGGAGGCAAAGGGAGAUCCCCACUGACCAGCUGUGAGCAGGAGGGAGGGUGGGGAGGGGUCUGGGUUGUUUGUCCAAUAAAAGAUAUUACCUCCCCUACCUUGGUUCA